CUGUUCGUAGAAAGGAGAGAUGGUUGGCAUCUCUCCUGACAGGGAUGGGAACAGACUUCGGGCUUUUCCUUGUUAGAAAACACCUUGUUAGAAAACACAUCGGUUAAGGUAACCCAUUUCGGUGGAUCUAUAACCCAAUUUUUUUU
This 146-nucleotide non-coding RNA is filed under the name Ipomoea nil (Japanese morning glory). Lineage: Eukaryota; Viridiplantae; Streptophyta; Magnoliopsida; Solanales; Convolvulaceae. The record is from RNAcentral.